UAUCCCUUAAAAAAUCUCAAACUGGUUGAGUAAUUAAGCCGUGAGUAUGAUAUAUGAAAUAUAUAGUAAAGAGUUAGGCGGAUGAUUUAAGAAAUUGGGCAACCCAGUAAAACCUUAUUUGGACAACAACUCUAAUCUCUUAUAUAUAAUUCUGGGCUACCCAUUAAGCCUUGUGGACCAUAAUUCUAAUCUCUUAUAAAUAAUCCCUAGUUUUUAGAGGGUUGGCCACACACCC
Molecule: long non-coding RNA, 235 nt
Filed under: Daucus carota (carrot)
Lineage: Eukaryota; Viridiplantae; Streptophyta; Magnoliopsida; Apiales; Apiaceae
Description: long non-coding RNA (DCAR_LNC003467)
Source: RNAcentral